This 375-nucleotide ribosomal RNA is filed under the name uncultured eukaryote. Its description in RNAcentral is "partial 18S ribosomal RNA". It matches the Rfam family "Eukaryotic small subunit ribosomal RNA", at positions 592 to 976 of the family's 1831-position model. The record is from RNAcentral.
CAAUAGCGUAUAUUUAAGUUGUUGCAGUUAAAAAGCUCGUAGUUGGAUUUCGGUUAAGAGCGACCGGUCCGCCGUUUGGUGUGCACUGGUUGGUUUUAACUUCCUGUAGAGGACGUGCUCUGGGUUUAACGACCUGGACUCGGAGUCUACGUGGUUACUUUGAAAAAAUUAGAGUGUUCAAAGCGGGCUUACGCUUGAAUAUUUCAGCAUGGAAUAACACUAUAGGACUCCUGUCCUAUUUCGUUGGUCUCGGGACGGGAGUAAUGAUUAAGAGGAACAGUUGGGGGCAUUCGUAUUUCAUUGUCAGAGGUGAAAUUCUUGGAUUUAUGAAAGACGAACUUCUGCGAAAGCGUUUGCCAAGGAUGUUUUCAUUAA